Molecule: long non-coding RNA, 587 nt
Organism: Carassius auratus (goldfish)
Lineage: Eukaryota; Metazoa; Chordata; Actinopteri; Cypriniformes; Cyprinidae
Exons: 3
Source: RefSeq, a predicted model, not a curated record
AAGAAAGUCAGUCAUACAAGUUUGGAAUGUCAUGAGGGAUGAUGACCAGCCGUGAUUGAGCUUUGGAAACCUGUUUUUAACCUCCAGCUAAACUGCUCAUCCAUGAUCAGUCAAUGGCAGUGGGGCCCAAGGAGGACGAUUGGAUGGGUGUGUGCCUGGUCACCCGUGAGUGCCAUCCAAGGUCUCCUCUGGAGCCCAGCCAACCUUUAUUACUGAACAGAAGAGGGAAACGGGCCUGUCACAGGAAAGUGAUAAAGCACCAUUACCACACUGCAGAGGAGGAAUGAGGACAGCCUGCUCUGACACAACUCCUUUCAUAAAGAGCUUCGCUCUUAACAUAUUGGACAGCCAGUCAAAGAACUCCAGCAAAGAACAAAAUGACUAGUCCGGCGAAAUCCUUUACUGGUAUUGACAUACCCUCUUUCAUUACACCCCACUGUGCUGUACUGCACCACAGGAAGGGCUCAGACUCAAAAUCUUUGCAUGACAGAUGAAAUAUUUCAUUUCACAAAGCAAGUAAUUUGCACCAUAAUAUGAUGAAUCUGAACGAUCUGGGCAUAAGAGAAAGUAGUUGCACACACACAUAU